This is a long non-coding RNA of Thalassophryne amazonica, 99 nucleotides long. RefSeq lists it as uncharacterized. The record is from RefSeq and is a predicted model, not a curated record. The transcript has 3 exons. Lineage: Eukaryota; Metazoa; Chordata; Actinopteri; Batrachoidiformes; Batrachoididae.
UCAAAUCCAGUAGGUGGAUCCAGCCGCAUCGUGGACAGAGAGAAAAAGGAAACAGAAUCAGCUGGCCAGUAAAACUACACUUAAGGUAUAAUUCAUCAG